CUCUCUCUCUCUAAAGCUUCUUCAAUGGCUUCGUCUUCGUUAUCAUCAUCAGAGGUAUCUGAAAGAAGGGGGGUAUCCCUGGAGCUUCAUUUAACACAAUCUGGUCUUGAUGUCACUUCUUCCUUAGCAAUUCGUUAAGAAAGGUCAACAUGGACAAAUGACCUAUCGAUCGAAAAGUGGUUUUGUGUGGUUAUAUAGUGAGGAAGCCCUUUUAUUUAUGGUGAGGAAGGCGGUCAUAACAUAGGUUUGCCAGAGAAUCAGAAGUUGUUUGUUAUAAAACAUCGGCAGAACAGGGAUACUCCAAUCUUUUGAUAAUGUUUUGGUGCUGACUGUUCCAUGGCUUCAACGUGUGUACUUCAAUGAUCUCUUUUGUGUAUCACUGAAUGGUUCAAGCAAUCUCAGAAUGAAUAGGUGAAAAUUCAGGUGAUACCAAAGAUUAUGGAGUCUCUCAGAAUAUCAUCGAGCUUGAAUAUCUUAGACAAGCUGGCAUGUUCUUCUACAAAUACAUCCCAAGCUAAAGCAGCGAGCAUCCAAAUCUCAGGCCAAGUAUUUUAAGCCAAUGCCUUCAAAGGAGACAAAGAGGGUUUGGAGGAAGGCGAAGAUUGUCACCCUUUCUUCUAGUUCUGUCACCUAGAUAAAUGCUGCCUUGUCGAGUCUCUUGAGCGUAAGAUUAGAACGACGGCGUUACACCCAAGAAACUUUUGGACAGAACAUAGUAUGAAGAAAGAGCAUCUGAAUAAAUGAUGGUGAGCAGUUGGAGGGGAACCCUGGGCAACUUUUCAAUCCUGUGCAGCAAUUUUUCAGCACUCCGCAGAGUUAUGAUCUGACCCAUGAGCCUGUUACUUUUAGUAACAGUAUUUACGGGGUGGUGUGCGAGUUUGGCUGAGAAAGGGAAUUCAACUUGACGUUGUCAGAUAUGGGAUGGCAAAAUGGAACUGCUGUCUAAAAGUGAUCACCUGUUUGUAUUGUGGAUCUUGUAAACAACUUGAAUCCCAAGAAGAAAACCUGCAUUUUCUUAUUAAUUAUGCAGUGGCUUGUUAGACGCAUAGGUUUCUGUCAUGUCUUUCUCUUCUUUUUAACAAAUUUAUACUGAAAUGAAUAUCAUUAAGCUCCCUUAUGAUGAGCACAGCACUCAGUUCUAUUUGAUUCUUUCA
Molecule: long non-coding RNA, 1154 nt
Organism: Papaver somniferum (opium poppy)
Lineage: Eukaryota; Viridiplantae; Streptophyta; Magnoliopsida; Ranunculales; Papaveraceae
Exons: 5
Source: RefSeq, a predicted model, not a curated record